CUGGAGCAGAGCAUCACGACAAGGCACCACAGAUGCUGAGUGGAUGGAAUAAAGUAAUGGAUCCAAGGAUAGCUGCUCAGUUUAUUGUGAUAAAUAUUAUGGAUUUUCACAGCACUUCCCUGCCGAAGAUUUAUCUUGUUUUGACACUGACUGUAAAGCAAAUGUGAGAAGGAAAAGAGCCCUUAGUAAAGUAUUUUCUCUCCUCCUUGUCCCCCCAAUCUUCCUGUUUCAUGACUUCCAUCCAGUCCAUCACCACUUCUCUUCCUGGCUGCUUCCAAGCCCGACCGAAUGCACGCCCUUCCCUCCAUCCCCACCACACACCUCCUGGCCUGGCCACUCUCAUCUCUCAUCACGAACAUUCCGGACGCCGUAAUCCUCACUGCUCUCCUGCUGCCCCUCUUCUACCCCUGCCUCAGUCCACUCAUCACAUAGAAGCC
Molecule: long non-coding RNA, 437 nt
Organism: Artibeus jamaicensis (Jamaican fruit-eating bat)
Lineage: Eukaryota; Metazoa; Chordata; Mammalia; Chiroptera; Phyllostomidae
Exons: 3
Source: RefSeq, a predicted model, not a curated record